This 439-nucleotide ribosomal RNA is filed under the name uncultured bacterium. RNAcentral describes it as "partial 16S ribosomal RNA". It matches the Rfam family "Bacterial small subunit ribosomal RNA", at positions 339 to 795 of the family's 1533-position model. The record is from RNAcentral.
CUACGGGUGGCAGCAGUGGGGAAUAUUGCACAAUGGAGGAAAUUCUGAUGCAGCAACGCCGCGUGGAGGAUGACACUUUUCGGAGCGUAAACUCCUUUUAUAUAGGAAGAAGAUGACGGUACUAUAUGAAUAAGCGCCGGCUAACUCCGUGCCAGCAGCCGCGGUAAUACGGAGGGCGCAAGCGUUACUCGGAAUCACUGGGCGUAAAGAGCGUGUAGGCGGAUUAAAAAGUCAGAAGUGAAAUCCUAUAGCUUAACUAUAGAACUGCUUCUGAAACUCUUAAUCUAGAAUAUGGGAGAGGUAGAUGGAAUUUCUGGUGUAGGGGUAAAAUCCGUAGAGAUCAGAAGGAAUACCGAUUGCGAAGGCGAUCUACUAGAACAUUAUUGACGCUGAGACGCGAAAGCGUGGGGAGCAAACAGGAUUAGAUACCCCAGUAGUC